AAUGACCAAACGUUUUUACAGCUAUAGUACAGGACAGCUUCAGGCUCAGUCAUGCCAGCAAAAGUUCCCAUUAAAAAAUCCCCUGCUCCACCAAAAGCUGCACAAAGUAAGGCUCCAGAAGUAACAAUGCCUGUUGCUCCAGCUGUGGAAACUAGUGGUGCAGUUCCAGAGGUUCCUGCACCAGUUGCUGAGACCCCUGUUUCAGUACCAGAGACCUCUGUUCCAGUUCCAGAGACCCCUGCUACUGAUACCCCUGUUCCAGAAACCACUGUUCCAGAUACUCCUGAAACAAAACCAACAGAAGAAAAAGCUCCUGAGCCGGUGAUUCCUGAGGUUCCAAAGGAUGAACCCCCCAGCAAGCCUGAAAACCUGUCAGUAGACGGCGUUGAGGCUACCUCCUUAUCACUGCGAUGGAAGAGCCCUGAGAAAGAAGGCACUAAUGCCAUAGAUGGAUACCUGAUUCAGUACAAAAAGGAAGGCAGUGAAGAAUGGAUAUCUGUGAACAUGGAGCCUAGCAUUUCUACUCACUACAAGAUUACAAAUCUGAAUACUGGUGAUAAAAUUUCUGCUCGUGUUAUAGCCGUUAGCAAAGCUGGACCUAGUGAACCUACCAGCCUGGAACAUUUGGUUCAGAUUCGUGAAAUAGUCGAACGCCCAAAAAUUCGUCUCCCAAGAUAUUUACGUCAGACAUUCGUGAAACAAGUUGGAGAGGCUGUGAAUUUGGUAAUUCCAUUCCAGGGGAAGCCAAAGCCUCAAAUUCAGUGGUCUAAAAAUGGGCAACCUCUGGAUCCUAAGCAUGCCAGUGUUAGGAAUGGUGAAAGCGACACAAUCCUUUUUAUUCGUACAGCUGAGCGGAAAGAUUCUGGAACAUACCAACUCACAGUGCAAAUAGAUGACAUAGAAGACAAAGCAAAUAUUGAGAUAAAAAUUGCAGAACGACCUGGACCUCCCAAAAGUAUUAAAUUGGCGGACUCAUGGGGUUUUAAUGCAGCUAUUGAGUGGAUUCCACCACUGGAUGACGGUAACUCAGACAUUACUGGUUAUACGGUGCAGAAAUCAGAUAAGAAAACUGGGGAAUGGUUUAAUGUCCUUGAGAAUUAUCGCCAAACUAAUUGCACUGUUUCAGACUUAAUAAUUGGAAAUUCCUACUACUUCAGAGUGUUCUCUGAAAAUGUUUGUGGACUUAGCGAGAAAGCAGCAGUAACUAAAGACUGUGCUGUCAUUAAGAAAUCAGAAAAUACAUACAAAAAUGAGGAAUAUAAGGAAUGUAAUUUUGCAGAGGCUCCAAAGUUUACACAAGCACUUUCUGAUCGGACAACAACCAAUGGAUACACUACUAAACUGUUUUGCAGUGUACGUGGCACUCCAAAGCCUAAAAUAGUAUGGAUGAAAAAUCAAAUGGAAAUCAGAGAAGACCCAAAAUUUAGAUACCUUGUAAAUGAAGGAGUUUGUUCCCUUGAAAUCCGUAAGCCCGGUCCUUUUGAUGGUGGUGUGUAUACCUGCAAAGCCGUCAAUUCUCUGGGGGAAGCAACUGUAGAUUGCAAACUUAAUGUUAAAGUGCCACAAUAAAGGUGAACAAGCACAAAUCUAUGCAAGAGCUUAUACAGUUACCUCUUAUUGGUUGGAAGUCACUAUGUGCAUUCUCUCACAUCUCACAGUCUUUAAGUGUAUUUUGUUAGCCAUUUUAGUUACAUAAUAAAAAUGCCAUGUUGUAUAUCUCGGUGUGUAACAAUGUUAAUAACAUUGUAGAUAUGUAGCUUUAUGUGGUUGGCUAAUAAAAUGUAUUUGGCAAAGUAA
Pseudophryne corroboree (corroboree frog) is the source of this 1797-nucleotide RNA transcript. It is a transcript of the gene named myosin-binding protein H-like, with no coding region annotated. The record is from RefSeq and is a predicted model, not a curated record. The transcript is spliced from 12 exons. Lineage: Eukaryota; Metazoa; Chordata; Amphibia; Anura; Myobatrachidae.